Molecule: ribosomal RNA, 253 nt
Filed under: uncultured bacterium
Lineage: Bacteria
Description: partial 16S ribosomal RNA
Rfam family: Bacterial small subunit ribosomal RNA
Source: RNAcentral
UACGUAGGGUGCAAGCGUUGUCCGGAUUUAUUGGGCGUAAAGAGCUCGUAGGCGGUUUGUCACGUCGGAUGUGAAAACCUAUGGCUUAACCAUGGGCCUGCAUUCGAUACGGGCUGACUAGAGUUUGGUAGGGGAGAUUGGAACUCCUGGUGUAGCGGUGAAAUGCGCAGAUAUCAGGAAGAACACCGGUGGCGAAGGCGGAUCUCUGGGCCAAUACUGACGCUGAGGAGCGAAAGCGUGGGGAGCAAACAGG